GGUCAGUGUUGGGUACAGACCGGAGAGAACAGGUCGUCUUCGCAGCUCCAGAAAAAACCUUUCGGGAAUUCCCACGUGUUCACACGCACGCUCCUCUUUCCUCCCGUUACCGUGGAAACGCGCCGACGAAUGAGUCAUCCCCUCCCUUCUCUUUCGUCCCCGUCAAGGUCAACGCCCCUCAGGUUUCGUUUGGGAUCAUUCAGGAUUCAGGAUUUCAGUCUGGUGAGCAGUCUGAAAUAUUCCACCGACUCUACACGUCAUAAUGUGACAGCUUGAAAGGAGUGGUCGGUGUUUGCAGGGUACACAGGUAUUCCUAUCUUGUGUAUGUUUUGACGUGUGUGUGUGUGUGUGUGUGUGUGCGCGUGUUUGAGCAGCUUACUGGACCAUUUGAUUAAGGAGAUAAGGCUUUAAGGCAUGCACCAGGAUAGACAGAGCUGAUGCAAGAGCCCCUAUUAAUGUAUGUGAUGUAUUAAUGUAGCAGCGAGUGACCCCAUUGCCUCAAUCGUGUUUACGUACGGCAGCAUAUUGGAUUUAAAUCGACGCAAAUGCUCUCGUUUACAUCCACAUCCACAUCUUGAGCAGCGGAAUCGUAGCCACUUUUGCUCCCGUUUGGAAUAUCUCGACAACACAAAACCCUGGACGAAAUUUGGGCACAGGCAUUCGCGGCGCGCGCACGCCGAACCCCAGCGUCUCGGGCGAAUCCUCUGACCUUUUCUCCAGCGCCUCAGUGAAGUUGGCGUUUGGGUUUCCUUGCUGAAUUACCGGGUGGAUUUGUUCCACACAUUCGGGUCGACAUGAGGACGAUGACUUGUCGUAACGUUUUUGCGGACGCCCCGUCUUUUCGUCCACAGCGCCGAUCAAAUAUUGAAUCUGUCCAGUCUGUCAACUGGAAGAGACAUCAUGAACUUUAAUAAAUGAGUAGUCAAAUAAUAUUUAAUAACUGUAAUACUGUAUGUGCUGAAAUGUAGAACUAACAGAUCAGUCAGCAGGCAUGACGCCUGGACUGCCACAGCCCAACGCAGUGUUGUGUAUCUUUGGGGAGUGCUUAUGAUCAUCCCAUUAUGUUUGGUAGCAUCAUUACGCGGGCUGUUCACGCUGCUCACACACACCAUAGAAUGCACAUUUUUUUCUUAAAAACCAAAUGAAGGCACAUGUAGUUAAGAUGUGACGCUUAAGAUCACCUUAACUGGAGUGAUGAUGUUGCAGCUAAAAAAAGAUUUAAUAGACGGACUCCUUUCUUCAGGUCCUCGACUCCUGCUGUCACUUUCCGCCUUUCCAUCACACGGAGGCUGACGUAAUCAUCCGUAACACACACACACACACACACACACACACACACACACACACACACACACAUACGUCCGCGCAGACUUCGAGGCAGGUGACAGAUCGGGCGCAGUGAAAGGCACGGAGAUUCUCCCGAUAAGGCUGUCAAUGAGUAACGCCGCCGUUUCAGGUUGUUUGCCGCUCAGUGGCUGGAAAAUUGGAACGAUAACACGCAAACACGCGGACGGUAAUGGCCGCGGUGCCAGACAUGCGCGCGCACGGCACAUGGGUCAGGCGCAGGACCUGUGACCAAAAACACCAGAAGGAGACAAUUAAAAUGCAUCUGAAUGUAUCUGGCACAAGGCCGAGCUUACUUUCACAGAGAUGCAGUGAACAAGGCUCAACGUCACUUAGUGUGCCAGAGGAGUCCAAUUUGGUGGUUAUUUAUCGCUGCUUUGGCACGUUAAGUGACGUCGAGCCUGUUCCGCGACAAAGCGUUUCAGAGCGUCCCGAAAGAAUAAGGUGCCACAUGGUCGUCUGCGACAGAAUAAACCUUUUGGGUUUUUGAAAAAACAUGAGAAUAACAGGACGUAACUGAAUGAAUAUAAGGCUUCCCCUGGCUCCCCUGCCGUCACCUCUGAGGCUCACCAACCACAUGAGAUCUUGUUUGUUUUCCCCUUGAAGUCUUGUACUUCAAGAUGACGAGGCCGCCGGUGAAGACUCCAAGAAGGUCAUUUGCUCCCCAUCAAAUCGCAAAAUUAAACAAAUGAUAUGUCAAAAUGUUAGCUUUGAGCUUGUCGGGAGCUGGUAUAGAUGGAUUCUGUUACCUUUGUCCACGGCCAGACUAUAUUUUUAAUUUACCCCCGUUUUCGGUCUUCACGCUUUACUGAGCUAAGCCAUAUAUUUAACUGGACACCCGCAUCGAUCCGUCUUGUGCGGCUCUUCCGUCUCAGGACCCUUGCAGCCUCAUUUUGAAGCCGUGACGCUUUCAUGGGCAAGAAUUAUGGUUCCCACCCGAUGUCUAGCAGAGAGGAAAAAGCGCUGCGUGGUGUUUUCCGCCGCUCAAGAUCGAAACAGCCCAUCAAAAUAACUCGACAUAAAGUGUCUCCUGUCGCUGCCACUGUAGGUGUCACCGGUGCCUGAGACAUUAACGUGAUUGAACUGAUUCGAUGAGUUCCUUGAAUGCGGAAUGCAGAGGUCUUCUCUGAACUCCCCUCAUCUUCAAAGCAAAUACCGGAUGAAAAUGAAUAUAAUGAUGCUAAACUGUUGUUCCCGCAGACGCCUAAUACACCUGACAUUCGACGCUUUUUCUAGUCAUGUGUUCAUGGUCGCCGUGUGAUGACGUCUGAGAUUUCGGUCAGACGCGACGGAACCCAAAUCGCCAGAGGGAUAAAAGACGAGCGGUUACUGCCGGUCAAAAAGAAAGAGGAAAAAAUUUGUUCCAAUUUUGUCCCAGCGUCGGAUUAUUUCAGAAGAUGAUUGAUAUGGUUUUAAACUGUGAGUACAGAGCUCGGAUGCGGGCCAGAGUCGUAAAUGGAUCAUGGUUCAUCUCACACAGGACUGGUUCAUUUGGGUUUUAUCACCGGAGGCCCCCCACCCCCCCGCCCCG
This is a long non-coding RNA of Scophthalmus maximus (turbot), 2875 nucleotides long. RefSeq lists it as uncharacterized. The record is from RefSeq and is a predicted model, not a curated record. The transcript is spliced from 3 exons. NCBI's taxonomy places the organism in Eukaryota, Metazoa, Chordata, Actinopteri, Pleuronectiformes, Scophthalmidae.